AGUCUCUUCUUGUCUAGCCAGGAAGAACUGGAGCAGUAGACGACUAACUCCAAGACAAAAUGUCAUUAAUGCAACUUAUAUCAAUUCAACCAGUGUGUUCAAGCAGUUUAACCAAAUUAACUAAAUCAAAGUAACUGUCUAAUAUGCAUCUAUCCAGCAAACAUGGUUGAAAUACUGGCACCAUCUCCUUGGUCCAAACUGGUUUUUGCCCAGUAACAAACACUGAACCACAGAGAGAUGGACAUAGAUCUUCCCACAUGGAAUAGAGGUCUAGUCAGGCUGUCUCUUAUAAAGUAAAUACAAGAGGAUGCCCACACAUCCAUCCAUUUUCAUUUACAAAGUUACUUAAUGUUUUUUUUCCCACUCACAGAUAAGACUAUCUAGAUUGUCCUCCUCAGUAAGUCCAGUAUUUUCACUUAUUUCAAUUUGUCAUGGUCCGCGGCCCGGCGUCCGAGGUGCUGAUGGGAUGCCCACGCCCACGGGCGUGGCUGCUAACUCCACACCUGCAUCCCAUCCCAGGCGAUCACCAGGUGGACUAUUUAAUCCUGCCCAGCCUGCUGCUCCACGCCAGUCCGUAGUCGUCUCUCAGCGAUCACAACUCGGCGUGUUUUGAGCCACCUGCCUGUCCACCUGCCCAUCCAGAAUUUGGAUCACGAUCAGCACUCGCCGCCUCGACUUUUCUGGAGCUCCCCCGCGGACCCUCACCCCUCCCUCCGGCUCCCUCGGCCCCGCUAUCAUCCCUCCCACAGUCCCGCUCUCGGCGUUCCUGCGCGACUCACCUCCCGGUCCUUCGGUUUCUCUGGUUCCACGCGUUUUUCCCUUCUACCCUCCCGG
This is a long non-coding RNA of Haplochromis burtoni (Burton's mouthbrooder), 834 nucleotides long. RefSeq lists it as uncharacterized. The record is from RefSeq and is a predicted model, not a curated record. Lineage: Eukaryota; Metazoa; Chordata; Actinopteri; Cichliformes; Cichlidae. The transcript is spliced from 3 exons.